GAUAAGAACGCAGCGAAAUGCGAUAAGUAAUGUGAAUUGCAGAAUUCAGUGAAUCAUCGAAUCUUUGAACGCACCUUGCGCUCCUUGGUAUUCCGAGGAGCAUGCCUGUUUGAGUGUCAUGAAAUUCUCAACCUUUUCAGCUUUCUUUGUUGAUCAGGCUUGGAUGUGGGAGUAUGCGGGCUUCUCAGAAGUCGGCUCUCCUGAAAUGCAUUAGCGGGACCUUUGUUGCCUGGCUUUGGUGUGAUAAUUAUCUACGCCAUUGUAGUCAAGCAGCUUAAAAUGAGGUUUCAGCUUCUAACCGUCUCCCCUGAGACAACUUUUUGACAAUUUGACCUCAAAUCAGGUAGGACUACCCGCUGAACUUAAGCAUAUCAAUAAGCGGAGGA
RNAcentral lists this unclassified non-coding RNA (386 nucleotides) under soil metagenome. Its description in RNAcentral is "partial contains 5.8S ribosomal RNA, internal transcribed spacer 2, and large subunit ribosomal RNA". The stretch from base 4 to 119 matches the Rfam family "5.8S ribosomal RNA", at positions 39 to 154 of the family's 154-position model. The record is from RNAcentral.